Molecule: ribosomal RNA, 253 nt
Filed under: uncultured bacterium
Lineage: Bacteria
Description: partial 16S ribosomal RNA
Rfam family: Bacterial small subunit ribosomal RNA
Source: RNAcentral
UACAGAGGGGGCAAGCGUUGUUCGGAAUUACUGGGCGUAAAGAGCGUGUAGGCGGCUUGGUAGGUCUGCUGUGAAAACUCGAGGCUCAACCUCGAGACGUCGGUUGAAACCGUAUGGCUAGAGUCCGGAAGAGGAGAGUGGAAUUCCCGGUGUAGCGGUGAAAUGCGCAGAUAUCGGGAAGAACACCCGUGGCGAAGGCGGCUCUCUGGGACGGUACUGACGCUGAGACGCGAAAGCGUGGGGAGCAAACAGG